CAAUAGCGUAUACUAAUGUUGUUGCAGUUAAAAAGCUCGUAGUUGAACUUCUGGUAGGAGUGUCCCGGCCUUUUUGUUUUUACAAAUUGUAUGCUGUGUGACAUCUCUGGCCAUCCUUCUUCUUUGUUUAAAGAAGAUCUUUCACUGUAAAAAAAUUAGGGUGUUCAAAGCAAAAGUUUCUUUGGAAUAUAUUAGUAUGGGAUGAUAAGAUAGGCUCUAGAUGCUAUUUUGUUGGUUUGCACAUUUAGAGAAUGAUUAACAGGGACAGUUGGGGGUAUUCGUAUUUACAUGCCAGAGGUGAAAUUCUUGGAUUUUGGAAAGACGAACUACUGCGAAAGCAUUUACCAAGGAUGUUUUCAUUAA
RNAcentral lists this ribosomal RNA (363 nucleotides) under uncultured eukaryote. RNAcentral describes it as "partial 18S ribosomal RNA". It matches the Rfam family "Eukaryotic small subunit ribosomal RNA", at positions 592 to 976 of the family's 1831-position model. The record is from RNAcentral.